This 601-nucleotide small RNA is filed under the name Vishniacozyma victoriae. Its description in RNAcentral is "eukaryotic LSU rRNA". It matches the Rfam family "Eukaryotic large subunit ribosomal RNA", at positions 17 to 605 of the family's 3401-position model. Lineage: Eukaryota; Fungi; Basidiomycota; Tremellomycetes; Tremellales; Bulleribasidiaceae. The record is from RNAcentral.
AGGGCUACCCGCUGAACUUAAGCAUAUCAAUAAGCGGAGGAAAAGAAACUAACUAGGAUUCCCUUAGUAACGGCGAGUGAACCGGGAUGAGCUCAAAUUUAAAAUCUGGCGUCUUUCAGGCGUCCGAGUUGUAAUCUAUAGAGGCGUUUUCCGCGCCGGACCGCGUCCAAGUCUCUUGGAAUAGAGUAUCAAAGAGGGUGACAAUCCCGUACUUGACGCGACAACCGGUGCUCUGUGAUACGUUCUCAAUGAGUCGAGUUGUUUGGGAAUGCAGCUCUAAAUGGGUGGUAAAUUCCAUCUAAGGCUAAAUAUUGGCGAGAGACCGAUAGCGAACAAGUACCGUGAGGGAAAGAUGAAAAGCACUUUGGAAAGAGAGUUAAACAGCACGUGAAAUUGUUAAAAGGGAAACGAUUGAAGUCAGUCGUGUGAAAGGUAUUCAGCCGUCUCUGGCGGUGUAUUUGCCUUUCACGGGUCAACAUCAGUUUGAUCCGGUAGAAAAAGGCGGGAGGAAGGUGGCACCCUCGGGUGUGUUAUAGCCUCCUGUCAUAUGUGCCGGACCAGACUGAGGAACGCAGCUUGCCGCAAGGCCGGGGUUCGCCCA